GACGAACGCUGGCGGCGUGCUUAACACAUGCAAGUCGAACGGUAAGGCCCUUCGGGGUACACGAGUGGCGAACGGGUGAGUAACACGUGGGUGAUCUGCCCUGCACUUCGGGAUAAGCCUGGGAAACUGGGUCUAAUACCGGAUAGGACUCCGGACUGCAUGGUCUGGGGUGGAAAGCUUUUGCGGUGUGGGAUGGGCCCGCGGCCUAUCAGCUUGUUGGUGGGGUGAUGGCCUACCAAGGCGACGACGGGUAGCCGGCCUGAGAGGGUGACCGGCCACACUGGGACUGGGAUACGGCCCAGACUCCUACGGGGGGCAGCAGGGGGGAAUAUUGCACAAUGGGCGCAAGCCUGAUGCAGCGACGCCGCGUGAGGGAUGACGGCCUUCGGGUUGUAAACCUCUUUCAGCAUCGACGAAGCGAAAGUGACGGUAGGUGCGGAAGAAGGACCGGCCAACUACGUGCCAGCCGCCGCCGUAA
This 478-nucleotide ribosomal RNA is filed under the name uncultured bacterium. RNAcentral describes it as "partial 16S ribosomal RNA". It matches the Rfam family "Bacterial small subunit ribosomal RNA", at positions 28 to 523 of the family's 1533-position model. The record is from RNAcentral.